GUUGGUGGCUUUGAGAAGUUUACCAAAGGAAUAGGGAUGAAGUUGCUUGAGAAGAUGGGUUAUAAGGGAGGUGGGUUGGGUAAAAAUGAGCAAGGAAUUGUGGCUCCGAUUGAGGCGAAGCUGAGACCUAAGAAUAUGGGAAUGGGAUUUAAUGACUACAAGGAGACUAGUAGUGCACCAGCUCUUCAAGAAUCAGAUGGAAAGCAGACUGUUGCUCGUCCUGCUAUACUACCUGUGGAAGGUCGAUCAAAAGAGAAGCUUUGGUCAAAGCAAGCUAAAAAAGUGAAGAAGGUUUAUGUUACAGCUGAAGAGUUGUUAGCCAAAAAGCAGGAGCAAGGCCUGGAAACUGUUCAGAAGGUGUUUGAUAUGAGAGGUCCACAGGUUCGAGUCUUGACGAAUCUGGAGAACUUGAACGCAGA
This 419-nucleotide unclassified non-coding RNA is filed under the name Hevea brasiliensis (rubber tree). Lineage: Eukaryota; Viridiplantae; Streptophyta; Magnoliopsida; Malpighiales; Euphorbiaceae. The record is from RNAcentral.